Molecule: ribosomal RNA, 610 nt
Filed under: uncultured Leotiomycetes
Lineage: Eukaryota; Fungi; Ascomycota; Leotiomycetes
Description: eukaryotic LSU rRNA
Rfam family: Eukaryotic large subunit ribosomal RNA
Source: RNAcentral
UUGACCUCGGAUCAGGUAGGGAUACCCGCUGAACUUAAGCAUAUCAAUAAGCGGAGGAAAAGAAACCAACAGGGAUUGCCUCAGUAACGGCGAGUGAAGCGGCAACAGCUCAAAUUUGAAAUCUGCCUCUAGGCCGAGUUGUAAUUUGUAGAAGAUGCUUCGGGUGUGGCACUGGUCUAAGUUCCUUGGAACAGGACGUCAUAGAGGGUGAGAAUCCCGUAUGUGACUGGCUGCCUUCGCCCAUGUGAAGCUCUUUCGACGAGUCGAGUUGUUUGGGAAUGCAGCUCAAAAUGGGUGGUAUAUUUCAUCUAAAGCUAAAUAUUGGCCAGAGACCGAUAGCGCACAAGUAGAGUGAUCGAAAGAUGAAAAGCACUUUGGAAAGAGAGUUAAACAGCACGUGAAAUUGUUGAAAGGGAAGCGCUUGCAACCAGACUUGCGCGCCGUCGAUCCCCCGAGGUUUUCCCCGGUGCACUCGGCGGUGCUCAGGCCAGCAUCGGUUUCGGUGGUUAGAUAAAGGCCUUGGGAAUGUGGCUCCUCCGGGAGUGUUAUAGCCCUCGGUGCAAUGUAGCCUACCGGGACCGAGGACCGCGCUCGGCUAGGAUGCUGCGUA